RNAcentral lists this transfer RNA (84 nucleotides) under Candidatus Micrarchaeota archaeon RBG_16_49_10. Its description in RNAcentral is "tRNA-Ser". It matches the Rfam family "tRNA". Rfam says of the family: Transfer RNA (tRNA) molecules are approximately 80 nucleotides in length. Their secondary structure includes four short double-helical elements and three loops (D, anti-codon, and T loops). The record is from RNAcentral. Lineage: Archaea; Nanobdellati; Microcaldota.
GUCGAGGUCGCCUAAUCAGGUAGGGCACUAGCCUGCUAAGCUAGCGGAGCUUGCUCCUUCCGGGUUCAAAUCCCGGCCUCGACG